GACGAACGCUGGCGGCGUGCUUAACACAUGCAAGUCGAACGGAAAGGCCUCUUUCGGGGGGUACUCGAGUGGCGAACGGGUGAGUAACACGUGAGUAACCUGCCCUUGACUUUGGGAUAACUUCAGGAAACUGGGGCUAAUACCGGAUAGGAGCUCCUGCUGCAUGGUGGGGGUUGGAAAGUUUCGGCGGUUGGGGAUGGACUCGCGGCUUAUCAGCUUGUUGGUGGGGUAGUGGCUUACCAAGGCUUUGACGGGUAGCCGGCCUGAGAGGGUGACCGGCCACAUUGGGACUGAGAUACGGCCCAGACUCCUACGGGAGGCAGCAGUGGGGAAUAUUGCACAAUGGGUGGAAGCCUGAUGCAGCAACGCCGUGUGCGGGAUGACGGCCUUCGGGUUGUAAACCGCUUUCGCUCAUGACGGAGCUUUAUGUGACGGUAGUGGGUAAAGAAGCACCGGCUAACUACGUG
This 467-nucleotide ribosomal RNA is filed under the name uncultured bacterium. Its description in RNAcentral is "partial 16S ribosomal RNA". It matches the Rfam family "Bacterial small subunit ribosomal RNA", at positions 28 to 507 of the family's 1533-position model. The record is from RNAcentral.